Long non-coding RNA from Octopus bimaculoides (California two-spot octopus), 666 nucleotides. RefSeq lists it as uncharacterized. The record is from RefSeq and is a predicted model, not a curated record. Lineage: Eukaryota; Metazoa; Mollusca; Cephalopoda; Octopoda; Octopodidae.
GAAAGAAAACAAUGCCUAUAAAGGCUACAUAAGCCUUUAUAGGCAUUGUUUUCAUUUGACUUGCUAUAAAACUACAGAUUAAACAAGUCAAACAUCGUAAGCACGGCUUUCAAAGCAAAUCCCGUUCAAAACAAAGAUACCGAUAGAAUAAGUACUAGACUUACAAAGAAUAAGCCUAGGGGUGAUUCGUUCAACUAAAGGCGGUGCUCCAGCAUGAUCACAAUCAAAUGACAAACAAGCUGUUUGAACAAAGGUGUUGUCAGCUAUAUUGAUUGUUGGGAGGUUACUCUUCAGCUUGUCCUUACAUCUGAGCCAUGGUCGACCAGCAUUCCUGCAGCCACUAUCAAGCUGGCUAUACAUGAGGACUUUGGGUAUUCUUUCGUCACUUAUUCUGACGAUAUGGCCAGCCAGCCCAGCGCAAUUGAGACUGCAUAAGGAGGCACUCAAUUCCACCAAUCUUACACUUGCUGAACAGGUCGGAUUUAGAAACUUUGUCUUUUAAUGAAUCACUGCAGUUUGUCCUGAGACAACCUUUGUGGAAGGUGUCUAGUUCCAAUCAAAACUUUUAUCAAAUCCAAAUAUAAACAAAUCCAACAUAAUGGUUUGGGACCGACACCAAAAUUAUGUGCAAACAUAUAGACCAUUCGCAAUAAAUUCUUUAUUUUA